UAAUGUCGGGAACUCUAAGGAGACUGCCGGUGACAAACCGGAGGAAGGUGGGGACGACGUCAAGUCAUCACGGCCCUUACGAGUAGGGCUACACACGUGCUACAAUGGCCGGUACAACAGGUUGCUAACCCGCGAGGGGGAGCUAAUCCGCAAAAACCGGUCGUAGUCCGGAUCGCAGUCUGCAACUCGACUGCGUGAAGUCGGAAUCGCUAGUAAUCGCGAAUCAGAAUGUCGCGGUGAAUACGUUCCCGGGCCUUGUACACACCGCCCGUCACACCAUGGGAGUGGGUUGCACCAGAAGUAGCUAGUCUAACCUUCGGGAGGACGGUUACCACGGUGUGAUUCAUGACUGGGGUG
Molecule: ribosomal RNA, 357 nt
Filed under: uncultured Gammaproteobacteria bacterium
Lineage: Bacteria; Pseudomonadati; Pseudomonadota; Gammaproteobacteria
Description: bacterial SSU rRNA
Rfam family: Bacterial small subunit ribosomal RNA
Source: RNAcentral